Molecule: ribosomal RNA, 482 nt
Filed under: uncultured bacterium
Lineage: Bacteria
Description: partial 16S ribosomal RNA
Rfam family: Bacterial small subunit ribosomal RNA
Source: RNAcentral
GAUGAACGCUAGCGGCAGGCCUAAUACAUGCAAGUCGGACGGGAUUCAGGAGCUUGCUUCUGAUGAGAGUGGCGCACGGGUGCGUAACACGUAUGUAACCUACCUUUAUCAGGGGGAUAGCCUCUCGAAAGAGAGAUUAAGCCCGCAUAAAAUCACAGCACAGCAUUGUGUAAUGAUCAAAUAUUUAUAGGAUAAAGAUGGGCAUGCGGAACAUUAGCUAGAUGGCGGGGUAACGGCCCACCAUGGCGACGAUGUUUAGGGGAUCUGAGAGGAUGGCCCCCCACACUGGUACUGAGACACGGACCAGACUCCUACGGGAGGCAGCAGUAAGGAAGAUUGGUCAAUGGGCGGAAGCCUGAACCAGCCAUGCCGCGUGCAGGAAGACGGCCCUACGGGUUGUAAACUGCUUUUAGACGGGAAGAAACCCAGAUACGUGUAUCUGGCUGAAGGUACUGUAAGAAUAAGGAUCGGCUAACCCCGUG